This 84-nucleotide transfer RNA is filed under the name Candidatus Woesebacteria bacterium. RNAcentral describes it as "tRNA-Leu". It matches the Rfam family "tRNA". From Rfam's summary of the family: Transfer RNA (tRNA) molecules are approximately 80 nucleotides in length. Their secondary structure includes four short double-helical elements and three loops (D, anti-codon, and T loops). Lineage: Bacteria; Candidatus Woeseibacteriota. RNAcentral also lists the same sequence under 2 other names. The record is from RNAcentral.
GCCGAGGUGGCGGAACUGGCAGACGCGCACGCUUCAGAAGCGUGUUCUGGCAACGGAGUGUGGGUUCAACUCCCACCCUCGGCA